RNAcentral lists this ribosomal RNA (682 nucleotides) under bacterium 14-L049642-122-014-F02. RNAcentral's name for it is "bacterial SSU rRNA". It matches the Rfam family "Bacterial small subunit ribosomal RNA", at positions 56 to 750 of the family's 1533-position model. The record is from RNAcentral.
UGCAGUCGAACGAUGAUGCCCAGCUUGCUGGGCGGAUUAGUGGCGAACGGGUGAGUAAUACGUGAGUAACCUGCCCUUGACUCUGGGAUAAGCCUGGGAAACUGGGUCUAAUACUGGAUACUACCUCUUACCGCAUGGUGGGUGGUGGAAAGGGUUUUACUGGUUUUGGAUGGGCUCACGGCCUAUCAGCUUGUUGGUGGGGUAAUGGCUCACCAAGGCGACGACGGGUAGCCGGCCUGAGAGGGUGACCGGCCACACUGGGACUGAGACACGGCCCAGACUCCUACGGGAGGCAGCAGUGGGGAAUAUUGCACAAUGGGCGGAAGCCUGAUGCAGCGACGCCGCGUGAGGGAUGACGGCCUUCGGGUUGUAAACCUCUUUCAGUAGGGAAGAAGCGAGAGUGACGGUACCUGCAGAAGAAGCGCCGGCUAACUACGUGCCAGCAGCCGCGGUAAUACGUAGGGCGCAAGCGUUGUCCGGAAUUAUUGGGCGUAAAGAGCUCGUAGGCGGUUUGUCGCGUCUGCUGUGAAAGCCCGGGGCUCAACCCCGGGUCUGCAGUGGGUACGGGCAGACUAGAGUGCAGUAGGGGAGACUGGAAUUCCUGGUGUAGCGGUGAGAUGCGCAGAUAUCAGGAGGAACACCGAUGGCGAACGCAGGUCUCUGGGCUGUUACUGACGCUGAG